This 74-nucleotide transfer RNA is filed under the name Anoxynatronum buryatiense. RNAcentral describes it as "alkaliphilic bacterium Su22 tRNA". It matches the Rfam family "tRNA". From Rfam's summary of the family: Transfer RNA (tRNA) molecules are approximately 80 nucleotides in length. Their secondary structure includes four short double-helical elements and three loops (D, anti-codon, and T loops). Lineage: Bacteria; Bacillati; Bacillota; Clostridia; Eubacteriales; Clostridiaceae. The record is from Rfam by way of RNAcentral.
GGGCCUUUAGCUCAGUUGGUUAGAGCAUCCGGCUCAUAACCGGGCGGUGCGGGGUUCGAGUCCCUGAAGGCCCA